GAGAUGCACUGACUUCUGAUGAUAGAGCGAACUUCUAAGAUCAUGACUGGUCCUUUGAAAACAAGCUGUCUUUCUGGAAAUGUUAGAGGUCUUCCAGGAGCCAAAGUGCUUGGUAGAUUUCGCUCUUCAGAGACAUCCUGGAGCCAGGAGUUUCCUGGCAUAGGAAUAAGAAGUCCCAGUCCCCUUGACUCAAGGUGGAUCAGACUGCAGCGCUGCUUACCUUCCAGAGUUCUCCACAGGUUCCGCGGAGGCUAGAACUUCGUCUGAUCUUACACCGUGUUUGACUUCUUCCUUUUUCUUGUCACAAUUUUCUGUCACCAAUUUCUCCAGAGAGCACUUCUUCAAUAAAUCACCCACGCAAGAAUUCUUAUUGCA
This 375-nucleotide long non-coding RNA is filed under the name Oryctolagus cuniculus (rabbit). Its description in RNAcentral is "lncRNA (ENSOCUG00000032716.1)". The record is from RNAcentral. Lineage: Eukaryota; Metazoa; Chordata; Mammalia; Lagomorpha; Leporidae.